Molecule: ribosomal RNA, 489 nt
Filed under: uncultured Acidimicrobiaceae bacterium
Lineage: Bacteria; Bacillati; Actinomycetota; Acidimicrobiia; Acidimicrobiales; Acidimicrobiaceae
Description: bacterial SSU rRNA
Rfam family: Bacterial small subunit ribosomal RNA
Source: RNAcentral
AGAGUUUGAUCCUGGCUCAGGACGAACGCUGGCGGCGUGCCUAACACAUGCAAGUCGAAACGGGGCCCAACUGGUGGCAACACCAGGAAAGGCCGAGUGGCGAACGGGUGCGUAACACGUGAGCAACCCACCCCGAAGACCGGGAUAACACCGGGAAACCGGUGCUAAUACCGGAUGCCGUCUCCGAACCGCAUGAUCUGGAGACGAAAGGAUUCCGCUUCGGGACGGGCUCGCGGCCUAUCAGCUCGUUGGUGGGGUAACGGCCUACCAAGGCUUCGACGGGUAGCUGGUCUGAGAGGACGAUCAGCCACACUGGGACUGAGACACGGCCCAGACUCCUACGGGAGGCAGCAGUGGGGAAUCUUGCGCAAUGGGCGAAAGCCUGACGCAGCAACGCCGCGUGCGGGAAGACGGCCUUAGGGUUGUAAACCGCUUUCAGCAGGGACGAAACUGACGGUACCUGCAGAAGAAGCUCCGGCUAACUACGUG